This 375-nucleotide ribosomal RNA is filed under the name uncultured bacterium. RNAcentral's name for it is "bacterial SSU rRNA". It matches the Rfam family "Bacterial small subunit ribosomal RNA", at positions 524 to 898 of the family's 1533-position model. The record is from RNAcentral.
UACGGAGGGUGCAAGCGUUAAUCGGAGUUACUGGGCGUAAAGCGCACGCAGGCGGUCUGUCAAGUCGGAUGUGAAAUCCCCGGGCUCAACCUGGGAACUGCAUCCGAAACUGGCAGGCUAGAGUCUUGUAGAGGGGGGCAGAAUUCCAGGUGUAGCGGUGAAAUGCGUAGAGAUCUGGAGGAAUACCGGUGGCGAAGGCGGCCCCCUGGACAAAGACUGACGCUCAGGUGCGAAAGCGUGGGGAGCAAACAGGUUUAGAUACCCUGGUAGUCCACGCCGUAAACGAUGUCGACUUGGAGGUUGUGCCCUUGAGGCGUGGCUUCCGGAGCUAACGCGUUAAGUCGACCACCUGGGGAGUACGGCCGCAAGGUUAAA